GGUCUUGUAUUCAAAAUAUGAUAUUGAAUUGCAAAUUCAUUGUUGCUUAUAAGCUAAGGCUU
Molecule: transfer RNA, 62 nt
Filed under: Caliscelis shandongensis
Lineage: Eukaryota; Metazoa; Arthropoda; Insecta; Hemiptera; Caliscelidae
Description: tRNA-Cys
Source: RNAcentral